AUUGAACGCUGGCGGCAGGCCUAACACAUGCAAGUCGAGCGGAUGAAGGGAGCUUGCUCCUGGCUUCAGCGGCGGACGGGUGAGUAAUGCCUAGGUAUCUGCCUGGUCUUGGGGGAUAACGUCCGUUCACGGGCGCUAAUACCGCAUACGUCCUUAGGUUGAACGUGGUGGUUCUUCGGACCUCACGCUAUCAGCUGACCCUAGGUUGGAUUAGCUAGUUGGUGGGGUAAAGGCCUACCAAGGCGACGAUCCGUAACUGGUCUGAGAGGAUGAUCGGUCACACUGGAACUGAGACACGGUCCAGACUCCUGCGGGAGGCAGCAGUGGGGAAUAUUGGACAAUGGGCGAAAGCCUGAUCCAGCAAUGCCGCGUGAGUGAAGAAGGUCUUCGGAUUGUAAAGCACUGUAAGUUGGGAGGAAGGGAAGUAAGUUAAUGCCUGGAUGUUUUGACGUUACCAACAGAAUAAGCACCGGCUAACUUCGUG
This 484-nucleotide ribosomal RNA is filed under the name uncultured bacterium. RNAcentral's name for it is "partial 16S ribosomal RNA". It matches the Rfam family "Bacterial small subunit ribosomal RNA", at positions 30 to 507 of the family's 1533-position model. The record is from RNAcentral.